This is a non-coding RNA of Coturnix japonica (Japanese quail), 4496 nucleotides long. The record is from RefSeq and is a predicted model, not a curated record. Lineage: Eukaryota; Metazoa; Chordata; Aves; Galliformes; Phasianidae.
AGUAUAGCUUUGAGAACAAACUUCAGUACAGGAUGGGAUGGGAUAGGAUAGGAUAGGAUAGUUUGAAAGGACCUACAAAGAUCAUUUAUUCUAACUGCGUAAUUACUUCAGUGCUAACAAACGUUAAAGAAUAUUAUCCAGGACAUUGUCCAAAUGACUCUUAAACAUUGACAGGUGUGAAGUAGCAACACACUCACAAGGAAGUUUGUUUCAGUGUUUGACCACCCUGAAGUCUCCAUUCCUGAAGAUAUUCAAAACCCACUGGCUGAGAACCUGAGCGAUCUGCUUUAGCUGACCCUGAUUUGAGGAGUGAGGACACUGAAUAUGAUGGUCUCCAGAAGAAAGAAAGCAGUCAGAGAAGACCUAAUUGGAGUUCUCCUUGCUGACACAGCAGGCUGUAAAGCAGCGAUCUCGCCUUGGGCAGGUGCAUCUCUCAGAGUUUCUCCUUGAUGUCAAGUGAUGCUAACUCCAUUUACUGAAGGCAUGGAAAGGCACACAGCCAAAUGACUGGGAAAAGUGUUAUGCACCAGAACACGCUGUAGGAUGUCAUGAAGAAAUCAGAGGAUUUGAAGCAUUCUCACUUGGAUCAAUCCAAACGAAGAGCAGCUUCCUCCAGUGUCUGUCUCCUGGGCUUAACGAAGAUGUGACGGUAUCAUUAAGCAGCAAUAACUACUUCACAUUUCUUUGUUUGAUGCUACCUCUUUUAUUUUGCACAAGGGUUUUUGAACCAUGAUGGUGUGCAGAAUUUGUCUUUGUCUCUCCUUCACCUGCUCCCUCAGGUCUGUCUGUGUGUUGAACAGCACUGAGCACUUCUAUUUAAGCGCUGUAUAGUCAUAGGACCCUGCAGGAAGGAUGGCAGAGGUCAUUCCAGCAGAGCCUCCUGACAUGCUUUGUACACAGCAUCUGUUUUAGAAUAUGGAGAAUAUUGAAUAUUGAGUAUUGAGUUAUUUCCUAACAGUAGCUGCUUUUUCAGCCAGCUGUGGCUCACUGCUCUGAAGUCAGUAUUUAAGCCUUUACUAAUGUGUGACAGAGAGCAGCAUAAAAACCUCAGAUUUUGAGAGACAAUAUCAAUAGAUAUGUUUGAAUAUUAUAUAGUUAUUAUAGGCUUUUUGUUGUUUCUGCAGUUCCCCUGUUUGCAUCAAUCUUGAGGAAAAUUUCUGCUGUAUUUUGAUGUUUCUGUCUGUCAGUGAUUUAUGCCGCUCAGCCACCAGCUUGAUCUUUUUCACCCUUUUCUCCUGGGGAAUGCACAGGAAGAAAUGAAAACUGUGCAGAAAGAAAGGAAGAAACACUACGUGGGUUUGUUCUGUUCAGCCUAAAGAGUUGGGCAAAUAGCUUUCUCCCAUGUCUUUUUGAUAUGUGUAUUUGGUGGGAAGUGUUCGUGAACAAAGAGGCUGUGCAGCAAGGAUUCUAUUGCUUCAUGUAAAAGUAGCUCAUACUCCAUCUACUGAUUAACAGGGUAAAGAACAUCUGUUUGUUACUGUACUCCAAACACUGGUGCUACCCUCUGAAUGGCAGAUGAUGGUACAUAGAGCACACAUCUGUUUUCUUUUGGGGGGGUUGGUUUUCUUCUUCUGUAUAUUCAGAAGAAUAUAUUACAUUCUAGUGAAUAUUGUAUAUUCACUAAUCCAGAUUUGGACUUGUGUACAAAGUUUGUCUCACAUGACGUACUCCUUUUUCAGACAGGCAGCCUGCAGUCAUUCUUAAAGCUGUCCCAGAGUCAUCUGUGGCUUACUUGUGUUCAACUAGAGGUCUAACACAACCCAGGCAAUAUUAAACGUGCAUUAGGUAUACCCUGGUUUGGCAGGAAAGGAAAUUAAGGGAUUAUUCAGCUCUGGUGUCUCCUACGACAAUCCCUGAUUCCCAGACUUUAAGCUGACUGCUGUCCCCACUUGCCCUGCAGUCCCAGUGCUGGAGUGAACCAGUAUACUGCUCAAUACUGCCUUAAUUUCAUUUUUGAUCUGCAGCAAGGGCAGGAAGCCAGAGUUAAGGCGCCUGAGGGUUAAAAUGAUCUCCAUGACUGCUCCAUGACCUACAUCCCCUCCCCAAACCAGCUCGUUUCAGAAUGCCAGGUGCCCCCUCUCAGCCUCACUAAUGACCCUAUAAUUGACAUUUCUCUCCAGCCUCCUGCUCUGAGUUUCAGACUCUCAGAGUAUACUUGUUUCUCUAGAUCUGAGUGCACUAUCCUCUCCCCCAGGCACCGAGCAGCAUAACAGUGGCUAGCUCCUGCCAGGAAGGGUGCCAGAGGAUGGAUAGAUAGAUGGGUGGAUGGGCGAAUUGUCAGAUGGAUGGAUGGGUGGGUGGAUGGAUGAAAAGACCCGCCUCUCUCCGGAGGAGCCUCCCAUAGCAGACUCCGGGGAAGCCCGGUUGUUCCAGAGCCUUUUUCUGCCCCUCCUUUCGGUGACUUGCAGAUUCGCGGCUCACUUUCUUUCCUUGGUGGCUGCCGCCCUCCGCUGGAGCAGAGCGGGUUUUACAGCAGAGCAUCUUCCCAGCCAGGGACCGGGCAGCUGCUCCAACCCCGCUGCUACUGCUCCAUCCUGGGAAGCUCAGGGCAGGGACCGAUUUCCUGAUAGAUCCGAAGCUGCGUUUUAUUGACCCCCAGAGUUAGUUGUGCCCAAGUCUCAUCACUUUCUUGUCAGUCUGCAUUUCCAUGAGCCCUCUCUACCACUGAUGGGAUGGCAGAAACUUAUAAAAAGAAAUCAUUAUUUUUUUUCUCCAGAAUUGUGAAGACAGCAGCUGAAGAAUCUUGAGCUAUGAGGAGUGUUGCAUUUGUCCCAGGUGCAAACUCUUUGAAAGGGUCGAUAACAGCAGGACACGGGGAAAAUGGUUUUAAGCUGAAGGAGGGAAGUUUUAGGUUGGAUAUCAGGGGGGAGAUUCUUUAGUGUGAGAGUGGUGAGGUGCUGCAACAGCUGCCCGGAGAUGUUGUGGAUUCCCCAUCCCUUGAGGUGUUCAAAGCCAGUUUUGAUGGAGCACUGGGCAGCCUGGUCUGGUAUAAAAUGUGGAGGCUGGUGGCCCUGCCUUGUGGCAGGGAGUUUGGAGCUUCGUGAUCCUUGAGGUCCCUUCCAACCCAAGUCAUUCUAUGAUUCAAUGAAACUUUUUGGAAAGUAGAUUAACUGUGAUGCACCUUCAGCAAUAAGUAACAUGCACUCCUUUCCUAUCUGUAUGUUUUGUAGUGAUUAAUUCUUUGUGUAUGUGUGUGCAUUAAGCUGUGUUCAGGUUUUCACUGCUGGUAUGCCCAUUCCAUUAGUAAAUGUGAUACUGACAUGAGUACACACCUGUCAUCUAAAAGGUGAAUAAACUCUUUCUGGAUUUCCCCCCCUUGAGGUGGAUGACCUCUGAUCUUGGAGGCUCCUUUUGUUCAGAGUAUCUGUGUGUCAUUGGUCAGCAGUGCAAAGCAUGUCAAAACAUCCUCCUAGAGAAAGAUGGCUUUGCCCAGUUCUGUUUUGCCAUUGUGCAAAGCAAAGUAGCUAAGAUACCGGGCUAUCUUAGCAUACUCAGAGCCUAAACCUCACUGCUUUGUGUCACAGAUGUGCCACUAAGUUCACUGGUUGAUCUGUGUUACUAGGAAUGGUUUAUUUUUUGAGACACAAGGGUGAUGAUGUGAUGCUGAAGGGUGCCUGUGCUGCAGUUGCUGCUGGAUGCAUUAUGUGAGAGGAAAAUACAACUGAGGGCAGAGAAAGAGAGGGUGCAUAAAGUCUUUGUACUCCCAGGUAUCUUCCCAACACGGAUCUCUCUUGCUCCUGCAAAGCAAAGGCCAGAUUUCUCUUGAGCGGAGGUUAAACUGCCCUUACCAUUUUAGCUGGAUUCAGCUACAAAGAGCACUGACCUUUUAGCAACAGCAAACCAAUGUGCUAGUCACUGUAUCUUCAGAAACAGUAGACAUAAGUGGGUUGGCUUAAGUUGUGUCAUGCUGACCUCACUCUGUGUUCACCUAUGCCAUGAGAAAACAACAGCUCCCUUCUAUCUGUGCCACCUUUUAAAGCCUUUGCUCAGAAGCUCAGUUUCCUUCCCAGGCAGUGAAUUCUCUGUCCAUGAAGUUACACUUUACUACUAAGUUUCUUUUAAGGUGUGUCUGCACCAAGUGUUUACACUUUCACAGUAUUUUUAAUGCUAUGGAUUUAAUACUGAGAAUUAAAUCCAAGGGUCUGGAGAACUUGGUUUGAAGAUGAACCAAGCUUGUCCUCAGGACACUUAAGAAGACAAACUCUGCUUUCUCGGUCUGGGCAAUUCAUCCUGUUAGACUGGCUACAGUAGCAGGAUUCCCUUUAUUUUGCUGCUACUUUUUGCUAGUUUUCUCGCUCCUCAAGUGGAAAGAGAGGUGCUGAGAGAUGGAAGAGAGAGAAUCUAGUUCCUGAGACCGUCAUCCAUAACCUUGUUGGGUAACCUGUUCCAGUGCGUCAUCACACUUUGUGAAAAACUUCCUCCUAAUAUCUAACCUAAACCUCUCCUGUCUCAGUCUAAGACCCUUUCCCCUGUGCUAUCACUAUCCACCCUUGCAA